CUACGGGAGGCUGCAGUGGGGAAUAUUGCACAAUGGGCGCAAGCCAGAUGCAGCCAUGCCGCGUGUAUGAAGAAGGCCUUCGGGUUGUAAAGUACUUUCAGCGGGGAGGAAGGGAGUAAAGUUAAUACCUUUGCUCAUUGACGUUACCCGCAGAAGAAGCACCGGCUAACUCCGUGCCAGCAGCCGCGGUAAUACGGAGGGUGCAAGCGUUAAUCGGAAUUACUGGGCGUAAAGCGCACGCAGGCGGUUUGUUAAGUCAGCUGUGAAAUCCCCGGGCUCAACCUGGGAACUGCAUCUGAUACUGGCAAGCUUGAGUCUCGUAGAGGGGGGUAGAAUUCCAGGUGUAGCGGUGAAAUGCGUAGAGAUCUGGAGGAAUACCGGUGGCGAAGGCGGCCCCCUGGACGAAGACUGACGCUCAGGUGCGAAAGCGUGGGGAGCAAACAGGAUUAGAUACCCCUGUAGUC
RNAcentral lists this ribosomal RNA (464 nucleotides) under uncultured bacterium. Its description in RNAcentral is "partial 16S ribosomal RNA". It matches the Rfam family "Bacterial small subunit ribosomal RNA", at positions 339 to 795 of the family's 1533-position model. The record is from RNAcentral.